This is a long non-coding RNA of Macadamia integrifolia, 1521 nucleotides long. RefSeq lists it as uncharacterized. NCBI's taxonomy places the organism in Eukaryota, Viridiplantae, Streptophyta, Magnoliopsida, Proteales, Proteaceae. The record is from RefSeq and is a predicted model, not a curated record. The transcript is spliced from 4 exons.
UUUUGGAACUUUCGUUCCUGAGAAAGCAAAGCAACGCCUGUAGAGAGAGGAUGGCGAUUUCUUCUUCUCCGUUCUCCUUCUUCUUCUCUUUUUGGAAUUGGAACCCUACGGCUGCCUCCUUUAACUUCUCCGUCACCAAUCACGUUUGACUUCGGCCGCAACUGGCAAUCGUUACCGGCGAAUCUUCAUCUAAGGUUCAACAACCCCCAGCCCCCUUCCUCUUCUCUGCCUCUGUUCCAAUAAAUUGUAGCGGUGGACACACUUAGUUCCUGUUUCUCCUCCGUCUCCGUUCUUCCAGCGGCGGGAACACUUUCUUCUUCCAGAUUCCAGCGUUAGAGCUUCAUAUUUUAUCAGGUAUACAUACGUUUUUCUCUUUAGCCCUGUGAAAUCGAUCAUAGAGGGAAGACAGGAACCAUGUAGAGAUAGUAUAUUUUCAGGUGCUGUCAUGAUGCAUGAGGUAUUGAAUGGGCAUGCUAACAGAUGCUAUGAAGAGUUUAGGAUGGAACGUCAUGUCUUCCUCAAUCUAUGUGAUUAUGUUAGACAUAGGGGUUGGUUAAAAGACAUGACCAACAUCUGAGUGGAUGAACACCUUGGAAUGUUCCUGUGGAUUGUUGGGAAGGGUUUAAGUAAUAAGGACACCCAAAAUCAUUUCAACCACUCCAGAGAAACAGUAAGUCAAACAUUCAAUAUUGUCUUGAUUGCAAUGCAACGCCUGGCUAAGGUGAAGAUCAUACCGCCAAACAUCAGUAUGAUACCGACAAAGAUUGCACAGAAAUCGAAAUACUACCCUUUUUACAAGGUAAAUCUGUUAAUAUGAUACAUGUUUGUAAUUAAAUAUUUGAAUAUUUAUAUUCUUAUAUGUAGUGACCAUUUAAUUGUCACUAUAUGUCAUAGCACUGUAUUGGCGUCAUAGAUGGUACUCACAUCCAUGCGAUAGUUCCAAGAGGAUCAAAUUCGAUAUAGGAAUCGGAAGGGGAUCACAACUCAAAAUGUGAUGUGUGCAUGUUCAUUUGACAUGCGAUUCACAUAUGUGUAUGCGGGAUGGGAAGGUAGUGCAAAUGAUUGUCGAGUACUUGAACAGGCAAGGAGUGCUCCUCAAUUGAGUUUUUCACAUCCACCUCCAGGAAAGUAUUAUGUUAUUGACUCUGGAUAUGCUAGUCAAUCUGGAUUUUUGACACCAUUUAGGGGUAAGAGGUACCAUCUACAGGACUACAAAGGGUGUAGAAGAUCCCCAAGAACAGCAAAAGAGUUGUUUAAUUAUAGACAUUCAUCACUUUGGAAUGUCAUUGAACGUACAUUUGGGGUAUUGAAGAACAAAUUUCUAAUUUUAAGGCUAAUGCACCAGUUCCCAGUGAAAGCUCAGGCAUCAUCGUACUGGCAUGUUGUGGUUACACAACUAUAUUCGAGAAGAGCUUAUUGCUGAUGCUAAAUUCGUGGAGAUGAGUGAUGAUUUAAAAGUUGCAGAAGAUGACUUGAAUCCACCACAUGAAGAUUUCGUUGAUCAUUCUACAGCACAAUCUA